UAGCCCUGCUGGCCAUACUGCGUGCCCAGU
This 30-nucleotide non-coding RNA is filed under the name Mus musculus (house mouse). The record is from RNAcentral. Lineage: Eukaryota; Metazoa; Chordata; Mammalia; Rodentia; Muridae.